Ornithorhynchus anatinus (platypus) is the source of this 1824-nucleotide long non-coding RNA. RefSeq lists it as uncharacterized. NCBI's taxonomy places the organism in Eukaryota, Metazoa, Chordata, Mammalia, Monotremata, Ornithorhynchidae. The transcript has 3 exons. The record is from RefSeq and is a predicted model, not a curated record.
GCUUGAAUUGUUUUUGUUCCCCAGUGAACAUUGUUCAACCUUUCCGGGCUUCCAUUCAUCACCCCGUUGAAAGGGGAAAAAAAAAACCACCAACACACAAAAAAACCCUUACCUGAAUGUUUUGGUCUUCUGGCUGUUCGUGUACUAUGAUUCCGUGGAGGAAGAAAAGUCAUUAAAUAUGCUCUGGGGAUGCUGAACGCUGCUCGUGACCUUUCGAAGAGACCUACUCGGCACUAGUUAAGGCUCUGGGAUAGGUUUUUAAGCUUGGAUUCUUGGGAUUCAUUUGCUUUAACAAAUACCACAAUUGCUAGUAUUAUUAUUAUUUAUUGAAUGUGGGUGAAACUAGAAGAGAAUGUGGAUAGAAAAUCGGAAUAAUGGCGAGCAAAGGGAAAGCAGUGAAGUAAGGUUUAGGUUAAGAUUUAACCUCUUGAGUUAAAUCCUAUCAAGACGUUCAGUCAUUCCAACAUUUAGACCUUCUAUUUUUUUGUUUUAUUUAAAAGAUGGGGGAGAUUCCUUUUCAGGAAAGACAUCUUAUAUUUUAGGGUUACAGAAACCCUAAAUUACACUACAUGAAUUACAUUAUGAAUUACAUUAAUGAAGAUGGUUUUUCCAAGUCACGUAUCAUGAUGGCAGCGAGCAUAGAAGCCUGACCAUCGCAGAUUAAAAAGCCUGACCUUUACUACAGUGGGGGGAAAUCAAGGUGUUACAGCAGCUCCUUGAUCAGGACGAGGGACAAAUGCGCACACACACACACACACACACACACACACACACACACACACACACACACACAUUUAGGAACAGAGAAACUUGUACACACAGAGGCAAUGGAAACCCCAGACUGACUUCCACGUGCAAAGACCUAACCAAAGCCACACAGAGGCACACGGGGAUAUAUGCUAACGUUCAAAGACAAAACAAGCAUACACAGUCGUACAGAAAUCUAUUUAUUGAAGACACUCUGAGACGGAAUAUCAGGGUGGAGUAUGAGACACCCACAGUCACUCGGGAGGCAGAGAUUACACCCUUUAGUAAGGGCGCAGGGAACGGUGCGGGGGAAUGAAAGACCUAGAGGCCAGUCUGUGGCUCUAUAUGGCUUAGUUUCUCCUCAUUGCCCAGUCUGGUCACCUGACCCCUGACACUCCAAACCCCUUACCUCAGACUCCAACACACUAAAAAUGUAAAUACUGCCCUCACAAGCGUAUCAUACAGAAAUAUAAAAUGCAAUGUCAAAUGCCAGUCCUACCAGUUUUAUCUUGAUCUCGCCAGACAAGAUGUUUAUUUGUGAUUAAUGAUCCCAGGCUUGUCCUCUUUUGACAGGUGGCAACCUGGUGGGAAGAUUUCUCAAUAAGAACGAUUAUUUCGGAGACGUUCGGCAAGAUUCCCCGUGGCACCUCUCUUUUCGAUUUUCUCACCCUCUUGAUUAAAAUAGGCUAGAUCCAUUUCAGGUGGCUACUUGAGGAAGACUGAAAGGAAAUCAAAAAGUCCCAUAAAAUACAGGAGUGGCUACGGUUAUCUACGAGCUCCCUGAUCUCUUCCGUCUUUCCAGAAUUCAUGCGAAGUAAACAGCCCCUGAAAUGCUUGAGACUCCUGUAAAGCUUGGGCAGAGCUAAGGAAGACAGAAGAUCACAGCAUGAAUGAUGGUUUAGAGAUUCCAGCUGGCAACUUGAAAUGGAUAUUCCUUUAUGGCGUAAUGGAAGGGGUGUGUGUCUGGAAGUCGGAGUAACCCACUUACCCGCUCCAUUAUCUUGGGUUAAGGCGUUAAAUCACCGUGUCAUUCGUUCAUUCAAUCAUAGGUACUGAGCGCUUACUGUAUGCAAAACA